CUAGGGAUGUGACCAGCCCCCUUUCUCCUUCCCCUCGAUCCCCACGAGCUGCUGUGCCCCUCCCUCUCCCUUCCGUGCGUGCGCUCGGCCAAGGACACCGUCGUCGCCCUCGGUUGCUCCUCCAUGACCUCGCCUCUUUCUCCUCCUCGCCUACCCAUCGUCCGCGCGCAGGUUGCCGCCGUCGGAGAAUAGGACAGUGUCGGGUUACUUCCUCCUUUCCUCCCGCCGGAUCUAAAGUGUGCGGUUGUGGAGGAGAGCCUCUCCUGUAGGAGAGGUAAGAUGGGAGAGAGGGGGAGAAGGAAGGAGAGGAGGGAGGCCCAGCGGUGAACGAGAGAGGGUCAUCGGCUGGCGCCUGCCAGGUCAGGUGUGACCUGGUGGUUGGUGGCAGCUCGAUCCUGGGUCCUUUUUCUUCCACCUCCCCACUGCCUAACACCGAGCACCGGUCAGGGAGCAUGGGAUCGACAACGACGGCCGGAACCCAAGAGGGAGGAUGAGGGGAUUGAAGAGGGUGUUCUUGUGUUCAUCGCCUGAACAAGGAAGAGGACGACGACGCGGGGUGGAACAUGUCAUCCCUCUGGUUAUGGCCUUCCUUUCUGCUGCUGGGUGAGCUUCUUCUCCCUUCCCGUCAAUGAGAGGUAGUUACAGUAGUUGAUAUGUCGCCUUGCUCCGAGGCUGAGAUGAGGGUUUUCACUGAUUGUGGUGGCCUGAGGCGGAGAUCGACAGCCAGAUGCUUGUGGCUGCCAUACAAAACAUGCUCUCUUGCUGACCUCGAGGUCCAGCCGCAAUGGACCAUCUCCAAGUGUGGAUCAUUGGAGCUAUCAUGAAGAUAUAAGCAAGCUGCUGGUUUCAGCAACUUGGCAUUUUUGUACUGAUUAGUGAACUAGCAAGGUAUAAUGGUAAUUCUUCUACAUCCAGAUGAAUGGGAUGGAUAGUAGUUCUGCUAUGCAUAAUGGUAUAGAAGAAGGACCUUUGCUUAAUGGUUGAUUUUCUUCUGCUCAUGGCAGCUUGCUCGAGGAAAACUUGCAAGCCCGAUGUGCACUGAUGGCGCUGCCAGCAACAUCAAGGAUGGAAUCAGCAAGACACUCUUUUAGGUCAGAGAAAUUGGCGGUCCAAUGAUUAAGCCUGAAUCUUCAUGGCUUCUACAGCCACCAACAUGGUGUAGCUCAGCCAGACCACAACUAUCGAUAGGUGACCAUCUUCAUUGAGACUUAGAUAUCAUGAGGGUGAUGAUGGAGGAUAGCAAUGUCUCCAUCAGCUGCUACCAUAGAAGGUGGAGACAAGUGGCGAGUGACAGUAUUGCAGGCUUGCAGCUAUCAAUGAAGAUCGUGGUUGUUUGCCCCCCCUACAAAGAUUAAGGUCCCUUGGAGGCUACAAAUGAUAGGGCCUUCAUCACUCAUGCUGAUGUUCGAGAAGAAUCUGGGCCUGACACGGCAGCUGAACAUGUGCUAGGUUUGCUUACCUGCCUUUGAACUCUCUGAAUGUCAAAAGCACUAAAGUGGGUACUUCCUAAUGGAAAUAUUCUCUUCUUUGCUGGUGAGGGUAGGUUCUAUCUCAUCAGUUCUUGCUUCUUGAUGUUUCAUUGUAUUCAGUUAUGAUAUAUUUUUCAACUAUACAAGCACUUGGGGAAGUCAGGAAAACUGAACCAAAGACGAACACUUUUACUGGCGAUGUUCGGGCUUUUUUUAACUGAGAUGUGAAAGAUGCAUCUUAUCCCCUAAGAAAUAUUGCCUUUUAUUUCUUGAUUUUUCCCUGACCUGCUAAUUUAGAGCUAGAUAUUCAUGAUUCAUCAUACACAUUACAAUAAAUUAUCCAUUGGAAUCUUUUGUCCAUAGAGGUGAUUUUGUUUGGACCAUUUGUCUAGGUAGUGACAUUUUGAUCGAUAAGGCACAAGUUUAUUUUCUUUUUCACUCAUGGCUACACUAAACUAAGCAUCACCGUCAAUGAAAAGAAGGCAUACAAAUCAUGAAGUUUUUGCCUUGGUUUUGUGCCUCAUUUAGUUGUCACUUAUUUAUUUCAAGGAAGUUAUUCAAUUCCCAUCGAGCUUUCCUGAUGCUUUCCAUUUGUAAAAGAGAAAUUUAAUAUGCAAUAUUUUUAAUAUUCGAGGAGGCCGCAGGAGAAGAAAAGGGGCUGUCAGGUCAGACUUUGGUGCAUCUCUGACCAAAGAUGGCUGGAUCCAUCCGACGCUCUUCCAAAUAGAGUGCAGAUAUGCUGACAGGCGUUAAGACUUGGUGGAGCCAGGCCAUGAAGCACUAUUAGCAUUCAACACUUGGCCCUGAUGAGCAUGACAGCCUAUGCUACCGCCUGAACAUCUUCUAUUCUUCUUUUGGCCCAAAACGAGACCAGUAGGGGCACCUUGAGCGAGUACUCAAGGCAUGCAGUCAAGUCAUGAUGUUGGUUCCCUUUCGCUAGAUCUUACAUAUUUAAUUAUGUGAUUUUGGAAGCCAAAACUGAUUAAGAUCUUCUGUUCUUACUUGCAGAUGUUAUGUUAUUCAGAGUACUUCAGUUUCCAGUCUCUAUAUAUUAAUCAAAUUAUGGGUUAUUUUGAACCUUAUAGGCUUUUAUUAUAUGUUUAGUUAUGCUUCCAUGGGUUUUGGAUAUGUAUUAACAAAAGAACCAUACUACUAUUUUGUCUAUACUUGAAUCGAAGGACGUAUAGUUAAUUUGCUCUUACGAAAGGACUGAGUAGACAGCUAGCCAAAUGACAGGACAAUCAUGACAAGCAAAGCAACACAUAAAUAGUAAUCCCUGGGAGUACUUUGGAUUUUAAGUGCGAAUCAUAGUUAUUUUCUUCUUAACUUUGGUAUGACAAGCAGUUCAAGUGAUAUUCCUAAUUGUUGCUGCUGACACUGAAAAACUACUCCUGAAGCACUAGAAGUGCCCUCUCUAUGGUUAAUCACUCACUGGAUCCAUAUGGGCAACCUUCCGCUUCAAAAUUAAAAGAGCACAGUUUUUGCCUGCUAUCAUUGCUUACGAAGAGUAAUCUACCAUGUCCCUAAUAUAUAUACGUAAUUGUUGCACCAUCACAAGAUUUCCAUGAUAUGCAUGGGUAUAACUUUCUUUACUGAGGAAAGGCAGGCUGUCAUUUCUAAAGGUUGAGAUUUUCUGUUUUAAGGAAUGUCAACUAUCUAUUCCUUAUCUGGCAUGUGUAUUUGCUUUGUCCUCUACUUCUGAUAAGGCAAGACAGAUCAAACCAACAUAGUAAUCCUCUAAUCCUUGAUUAUAUUAUGAAAAAACACUGGUUUUUCGUGUCAGGAUAGUACUAUGUCAAACUGAUGCUUUGUAUUGCAUGUUCCGGUGUAUACCCUGACAAUAUUGGAUCCGGCUUGCCAGCUCCCUCUUCAUGCUCUCAUCCGUGCUCCCACUUCAUCCUACGGCUGUCCUUUUUCCUUUUUCCUUUCU
Molecule: long non-coding RNA, 3399 nt
Organism: Triticum dicoccoides
Lineage: Eukaryota; Viridiplantae; Streptophyta; Magnoliopsida; Poales; Poaceae
Exons: 5
Source: RefSeq, a predicted model, not a curated record